AACGAACGCUGGCGGCAGGCUUAACACAUGCAAGUCGAACGCCCCCGCGAGGGGGAGUGGCAGACGGGUGAGUAACACGUGGGAACAUACCCUUCGGUUCGGAACAACGUUUGGAAACGGACGCUAAUACCGGAUGCGCCGAGUGAUCGGGAAAGGCUUGACCGCCGAAGGAUUGGCCCGCGUUCGAUUAGCUUGAUGGCGGGGUAACGGCCCACCAUGGCGACGAUCGAUAGCUGGUCUGAGAGGAUGGCCAGCCACAUUGGGACUGAGACACGGCCCAAACUCCUACGGGAGGCAGCAGUGGGGAAUAUUGGACAAUGGGCGCAAGCCUGAUCCAGCCAUGCCGCGUGAGUGAUGACGGCCUUAGGGUUGUAAAGCUCUUUCGCACGCGACGAUAAUGACGGUAGCGUGAGAAGAAGCCCCGGCUAACUUCGUGCCAGCAGCCGCAGUAACAC
Molecule: ribosomal RNA, 455 nt
Filed under: uncultured bacterium
Lineage: Bacteria
Description: bacterial SSU rRNA
Rfam family: Bacterial small subunit ribosomal RNA
Source: RNAcentral